UACAUAGGGGGCAAGCGUUAUCCGGAAUUACUGGGUGGAAAGGGUGCGUAGGCGGUUAGGAAAGUCAGAUGUGAAACCCCUUGGCUCAACCAAGGGCAUGCAUUUGAAACUUCUUGACUAGAGUACAGGAGAGGUAAGUGGAAUUUCUAGUGUAGCGGUAAAAUGCGUAGAUAUUAGGAAGAACACCAGUGGCGAAGGCGACUUACUGGACUGAAACUGACGCUGAGUCACGAAAGCGUGGGGAGCAAACAGG
Molecule: ribosomal RNA, 253 nt
Filed under: uncultured bacterium
Lineage: Bacteria
Description: partial 16S ribosomal RNA
Rfam family: Bacterial small subunit ribosomal RNA
Source: RNAcentral